This is a long non-coding RNA of Cololabis saira (Pacific saury), 562 nucleotides long. RefSeq lists it as uncharacterized. The transcript has 4 exons. The record is from RefSeq and is a predicted model, not a curated record. Lineage: Eukaryota; Metazoa; Chordata; Actinopteri; Beloniformes; Belonidae.
CAAUAGUUAAUCUGGAAAGUGUUAGUAUUAAAAGUGUUGGUGUUAGUGUUAAAAAUGCCUAAGCUUUGUGUGGCAAUAGGCUGUAAUAACAAACAGUUGUCAGUCUUUUCCUUUCCAAAGGAUGCAGACAGCAAGAGAGAAAACGUCUGACAGACAAUGCUACACCUACUAUAAUCAACUGCCCUAAUCCUCCUCCAUCAACUGCUGGUAGACGUGUGCUACGCAGGAUCGAAAACACUGGCUUAAAGCAGAAAAGGCAAAAGAAAAACUCUCUGAUGCCCUGAAAGUUCUUCCUCCAGAGACUGCAGAGUUUUUACACCAUCAAGUCAAAACUUGUGGCCAAAAACAGAGAGCAAGAAAAUUCCCAACAUCUAUCAAACAGCUGGGUGUGCAGAUUUUCCAUCACAGCCAGAACGCUUACAGGACAUUGAGGAGGCAUUUUAUUCUUCCAUCCUCAUCAACACUUCAACAGUUCAUAAAUACCAACGUGGGCCAUUUCCAUCCAGGUUUCCUUGAUCCAAUUCUGAACCAGAUGGCACAGUUAGCCAAAACAAUGAAGGCA